Long non-coding RNA from Peromyscus californicus insignis, 2779 nucleotides. RefSeq lists it as uncharacterized. The record is from RefSeq and is a predicted model, not a curated record. Lineage: Eukaryota; Metazoa; Chordata; Mammalia; Rodentia; Cricetidae. The transcript has 2 exons.
CUUAAAUUUCUUUCUUUUUUUAUUUUUUUGAUUUUUUUUUUUUGAGACAGGGUUUCUCUGUGUAGCUUUGGAGCCUGUCCUGGAACUCAUUCUGUAGACCAGGCUGGCCUCAAACUUACAGAGAUCCACCUGCCUCUGCCUCCUGACCACUGGGAUUAAAGGUAUGUGCCACCACUGCCUGGCUGCCCUUAAAUUUCUUAUAGACAAAUCAGAAAACAUUUCAGCCAAUGUUCUAUUGUUCUGAUAGUCUUUGUACAAACGAACCUUUUUUUUUGUUUUGCUUUGUUUUGAAGACAGAGUCUCAUGUAUCCUAGGAUAGCCUCUAGCUUGCUUUAUAGCAUGGACAACCUUAAAUUUCUCAUUCUCCUGCCUCUGCCUCCCAAUUGAUGAGACUUCAGGGCUUUGCUACCAUGUGGGUUUUAUGUAAUGUAAGUGGAAGCCAGGGCUUUGUACAUGCUAGGCAAGCCCGCUCACAACUAAUCCACAGCCCCAGCCUCCCACAUGACCUUAAUGAGCCAGUUGUCAUCCAGUUUCUGCUGCCCACAAUGUCACUGGGAAGACAAGUCUUCAAGGAUCACCUUGUGCCUUCUGAGGCAUUUGCUUAUUCUAGGCACAGCUCUCUCAGGUUGGUUUAGGCUGAGUUCUCUCAGCAAUGAAGCUUCCCACUGAGUUUUCCCUCUAGCUCACACACCAGCUGGCCUGGAUUUUCUGGAAAGAUUCCAGUUGAACUGGAACAAAAAUUGUCAUACAUUUCCCACCAUUUUGAUUUCCUUGGCAUGGUGUUGGGCUCCAUAGCUGGACCUUGAAGUCCAAUUUCUUUUCUUGCAUCAGCAGUGUGUGGGAGGUGUCUGACUGGAACACCUUGAAUUCCUCACACUUCCUACCAUUGGGCUUCAUUAUUUGAUAAACAUGGAUUUGUCCUUGUAGACUACCAGCUUAGAAAGAGGCCCAGCUCUCGACAGAGUUUGUGUUGUGUUGGCUGAAGGAAAAAACAAGGUGUAUCUUUGGGUUAGUCCUUCAGCAUUUCUAAGCCAUUGUUCCUCCAUAGAGCAGGGGUAAAUGGCAAUUCUGCUCCUGAAAAUUCUAACAAGAAAUAGCCCAAACUAAUUACAAAAACAGUAACAACUACUAUUGGGCUAUAUAUAAAGGAAAAAUAUAAUAAUACCUGUAAGUGCAGGUGCUUUCAUGUGGCACCAGGAACAGGGACCUGAAAUAUGGGGAUUUAAGAAAAAUAAAAAAAGUUUUUUUUUUUCUUGGUUUUUCGAGACAGGGUUUCUCUGUGUAGCUUUGCGCCUUUCCUGGAACUCACUUGGUAGUCCAGGCUGGCCUCGAACUCACAGAGAUCCUCCAGGCUGGCCUCGAACUCACAGAGAUCCGCCUGGCUCUGCCUCCCGAGUGCUGGGAUUAAAGGCGUGCGCCACCACCGCCCGGCUAAAAAAAGUUUUUUAAAAAAGGAAAAAAGUUAAAGGCAAGGAACUCAUGGGAAUAGUGUGCACAGAGGUAUAAAAGGGCAGAAGCAUGCGUUGGAGGUAAGAAGAUGGACAGGAAGGGUCCAUGGAGCAGCGCUGGUUUGCAGAACUUCUGCACACCUGGUUGCUGGUGGGAAGAGUUAAAGUGGGACAUGAUUAGUUGAUGAAAUUCCUGGAGUUCAUUAGUAACUUCAGCUUCUCUCCCUGAAGAGGGAACUCUGGAUCCCAGAACUUGGUCCCCAUUAGGAAGAGCAAUUCAGAGGAUUAGAUGCAAGAAGACCAGAAAAAAAUUCCUAGUAAUGCUUUUCAGCUUUGGAAAGAAACAAAAUCAGUAAUAGAUAAACAUAAUAGUUAAAAUUAAAAAUGAAAGUGAUCAGAAAAAAGCAGAACUAAUAUGACAAUAGAAAAAUUAGAACCUAAAUAUAUAUUAUCUAGCUGGGUGGUGGUGGUGACGCAUGCCUUUAAUUCCAGCCUGGUCUACAGAGAGAGUUCCAGGACAGAGAAACCCUGUCUCGGGAGAAAACAAACAGAAAGACAGAUUAUCUAAUGUCUCUCUGCAAAGAGGUUGAGGGUUUCCUCCUCCUUGUGCUGAUUUUGCUCCCCUACCUACAGCUCCGGUUUCCUCUGCUCCUAAAACCUGGCCAUCAAGUGCACUUCUGAUAGCAUGGAACCUUUCCCCGCUGCUUUGUCUCGUUUCUCUCUGAGGUUGUUGGGAAGGCUUCUUACCCCCCAUAAGAGAAUUAACUCCUUUUGAGUCAAGGUCUCCCAGGCAAGAGACUUUGUAUUAGCCAAAGAGAUGGGAAAAGACAUGGGAGGAUUUUCUCUUUCACAGGCAGCCAAUCACCUGAUGGUUGAUAGAGAGAGAGAUGCCUACUGUGGAUACCCGAAAGACUCAACCUAUGGAAGAUGGACGAAGAGGUUCCAAAGCAUCUGCAGAGGCUACACCUGAAGAAAAGAACAGGGUGACAGAAUUGUCAAGCAGUGAAGAACGGAGGCUGCCUACCAACAGUGACUCAGAUGAAGAGAUCAGUGACUGAGGGAAGAGACUUGGUGACAUCUUAGGGGAAGGGUGUGACUGCAGAAUUGCUGUUCCUUGCUGUUCUGCCUCUGUUGACUACAUCUGUUACUGCUGAGACACAUUGGGCUUAUGUACCUACCGGAUCCUCCUGUGCUUCACUUUGUUAACUGGGAAGAGAAUAACAUGCCUGUUUAUGUCAAUGACUCUGAGAUUUGGGCGCCCCCCCCCCACUGCUAAUCAUGUUGUUCCCCAAGCAGAGACAAUCAUAUGAUAAUUUAAGUAUUGAUGUUCA